UUUACUUUGACUUGGUUUUCAUAUUUUAAGUUAAUGUCCAUUUAUAUUUAUAAUUUAGCAUCUUUUCUUUAAUGGUGAUCAUUUUAGUGAUUGUAAAAUGUUACGAUGAAAAUUGUGCAAAAAAAAAUGGUCGUUUAGCAAUUUAAUUGAUCCAUAGAAUCAAUUGAUGAUAAUUUGUUCGCUUUCUUGUUCUUAUAUUAUUUGUUUAUUGUUUGUUAAAAAAAGAUGGAGAAUUUGAUUGAUGAAAAAUUUGAUUGUUAAUUUAAAUUGUUUGGUUCUGUUAGUGUGAAAGACAUGGGUAGUGAGAUGUAACGGAUUGUAAUUAACAUCUCACUACUUUGUCUUUGGCGCUAAUUCAAACAUUAAUCAACAACAAUCAUUGUGAAUGUAAAUAUUAAUUGAAACAAUAUCAACAAUCUUACAAUAUAAAAAUCAUCUUCUCUCCACCUUUACCAUCAUCAUCAUCAUCAUCAUCAUCCACAUCCACAUCCUCUUCAUCCUCAUCAUCUUCAUCUUCAUCAUAAAAUCUAUCAUCGUAAUAAUCACGUUGUGCUUUUCUCUUAUUUUCUUAAACCAGUAAAUCUAAUGUAAUAUAAUUUUGUGAAUGAACAACAGAUCAUGGAUUGUGAAAUGAUGUGAAUUAAUCAAUUGAAGAAGUGAAUUGAAUUAAUUAAUAGCAUUCCUCCGAGUCAUCAAAGAGGUUGUGAAAUGUUUAUUGAAAGUAAAUCCAUAUCACAGCCAGCUUUGAUGAUUUUGAUAAAAUGCAAUCCACUUUUAUUGUGCUCAUUUACCAUUGGAUUAUUUCUUGUUUACCAAAAAACAUUCUUUUAAUUGUAAUCGUAAACAAUUAUAAAAGUAAAUUCUUCAUUUCUUCUCAUCUCUCUCUCUACCCUUUUUCUUGAGAUGCGAAAGGCGCGAAGCACAGAGAGUGAGCUUAGUAUUAACUUUUUCUUCUGUCAAAUUCUGUCUUUUAUUUCUGAAUUUUCAUCAGACAAACAAUCGACUCUCAUGUUCCAUGAUUUUGUAUCCAUUGAAAAGGAGGGAAAAUUAUUCAAUUUCUCAAUUAAAUCAACCAACAAACUAAUGUUAUUCAAUCUAAUCUUUUAUUUUGGAGGCAAAACCUGAAACCUGAAGCUUUGAUGAUACAUGGGAAUACCAAACUAAUUGUCCAAGGAAGGAAAAGAAAUGAAACAACAAAAAAACUAAAUCAAAUUAAAAGAGCAAUUAAAAAAUA
Molecule: long non-coding RNA, 1234 nt
Organism: Panonychus citri (citrus red mite)
Lineage: Eukaryota; Metazoa; Arthropoda; Arachnida; Trombidiformes; Tetranychidae
Exons: 2
Source: RefSeq, a predicted model, not a curated record